This 9511-nucleotide long non-coding RNA is filed under the name Triticum aestivum (bread wheat). Its description in RNAcentral is "long non-coding RNA (TAES_LNC003842)". The record is from RNAcentral. Lineage: Eukaryota; Viridiplantae; Streptophyta; Magnoliopsida; Poales; Poaceae.
ACACACACGGUUCAUUAUCACAUUAGUGAGCUUNNNNNNNNNNNNNNNNNNNNNNNNNNNNNNNNNNNNNNNNNNNNNNNNNNNNNNNNNNNNNNNNNNNNNNNNNNNNNNNNNNNNNNNNNNNNNNNNNNNNNNNNNNNNNNNNNNNNNNNNNNNNNNNNNNNNNNNNNNNNNNNNNNNNNNNNNNNNNNGAAGGGUCAACACUGGUCAAAGAAAGUGCAAGCAAAUAGCCGGGAGCAACUAGUUAACGAGCGCUCCUUCAGGAGCCUCGCAACGAUCAGCGCCACUUGGCGCGCUCUCAGCCAUUCGUCACGUGUCGCGCUCUGGACGCUUUCUCUGGAUUUUUUUUCCGCACGCGUUUUCGGCUUUUUAAACGGGUUUUUUCCGGGGGGUUUCGACGUUUUGGUCUUCCCCGGUCUUUCUUAGCUUUUCGAUAAAAAAAUUCCGAAAAAAAAAUUUGCACGAAAAAAAUGUGUUUUCUGUUUUUUUUAUUUUCCCGAGAGUCACGGUUUUGCUUCCGCGAGAGGCACGGUUGUGCUUUCGCGAGAGUCACGGUCGUGCCUCUCGGAAAGGGAAAAACAAAACACGUUUUCUGUUUUUCUUUCUUUCGCGAGAGUCACGGUUGUGCUUUCGCGAGAGUCACGGCCGUGCCUCUCGGAAAGGGAAAAACAAAACGCGUUUUCUGUUUUUUUUUUUCGCGAGAGUCACGGUUUUGCUUCCGCGAGAGGCAUGGUUGUGCUUUCGCGAGAGUCACGGCCGUGCCUCUCAGAAAGGGAAAAAAAUACGUAUUUUCUGUUUUCUUUCUUUCGCGAGUCACGGUUUUGCUUUCACGAGAGGCACGGUUGUGCUUUCGCGAGAGCCACAGUCAUGCUCUCGGAAACGGGAAAAAAACGUGUUUUCUAUUUUUUUUCUUCCACGAGAGUCACGAUUUUGCUUCCGUGAGAGGCACUGUUGUCAUUUCGCGAGAGGCAUGGGCAUGCCUCUUUCGGAAAGGAAAAAAAUAUCGUGCUCCCGGUUUGAUUUUUUUGCUCGGUUUUUUUCGUCUGGUUUUUUCCGUGAAAAAAAUAAGUUCGUCAAAACCUAUCAACAUGGAUCUAGUUUUGAGGAUCUCGACGCGAGGAAUCCAAUGGUGAAAACGGUUCGAAAUUUAGACGCACGGUUUGGGAGAUAAAACGUUUUGAAUAAAUGGAUCUACGAAAAAAAGGGAAAAUUCUCAGGUUGCGACAAGUGGCGCGCUGCGUGUGCGACAUUUGUCGUGGCGUGGGAAAGUGGAGUGUUCUUUGAAACGAGUACUCCUUAAUUAGUGAUUUCGCAAAUAGCCUUGAUCAACCAGUCAAAAGAAAAGGCAAAGCCAACGAUGAAGAAAAGAACCAAAGAAGCCCGAGUCCUAAUUCGGCCCACUUAGUCAAAGGCUCGUUCAUGCAUGGAUGAAGAGGAGUGGUGCACCAUGGGGCAGAUCCUAUACGACGCCCGUGUGCGUCCGUUUGUCGCUGCUUCGAGCGAGACCUGGUUUUGGGAACGUUCUAGUAGGUUCUCUGGACCAUUUUUUUUCUUUUGCUAGUUUUUCCGUUUAUACAUGUUUCUUUUGCUAGUUUUUUCGGUCCUAAAUAAAAAACAUGUUUCUUUUUUUAUCUUUUUUUUCUUUUUUCUAUUUCUGUUUCUGCUUCUUUUCUUUCAUUUUAUCCUUUCUCGUUUUGCUUUUAUACUUUGUUUUCAAGAAAAUGGUUUGAAAUCCCAAUUUUUGUUCACGAUUUUCAAAAAUUGUUCAUUGAUUCAAAAUUUUGUUCAUGUUUUUCAAAAAUUGUUCAGUGUAUAUCACAAAAUGUUCAAUGUGUAUUUAAUAUUUGUUUAGUGUAUAUAACAAAAUUGUUCACCAUUUAGUUGAAAAUAUUUCAACGUAUAUUACAAAAACAUUCAAUGUAUAUUUAAAAUUUGUGCAUCGCAUAUCACAAAAAUGUACAGUGUGUAGUUAAAGAUUGUUCGGCGUAUUUUCACAAAAAAAUCAAUGUAUAUUUGAAACUUGUAAAAAAUCAACAAAUGUUUGGAUUUUCAAAUUUUGUUACUGGUCAAUAAUUAUUCACGUUUUUUUUGUAAAAUUCACGUUUUAAAAUUUGUUCGAGAAAAAGUUAUUCAUUUCUUGAAGGAAUGAUUAAAAGACGGAUCUACCGGUGUACAUAAUACCUUCCUUUUGAGCGAUGUAAUUCAACACGCAGUCAGGCGCCAGUGUAAUGUCUAGCAACCCUGCUAAAUAUCGAUGGGUAGCCGGUUCGACUCCAACCAACGCUGCAUUUUUCCUGCCGUUUCCCUUUUAUGUUCGCUAGUGGAAAUGGGCCGGCCCGUUUUGCGUGAAUCCUUCAGCGGAAGCUGCUCGUCUUGACGCACGCGAGCGUCAGCUAGGAGCACUCGCACCAUGGACUAUGAAGACCCCCACCUUUGACUAGUCUUUAUGGACUGGGUUAACCUUCUGUCGUUCCUACGAGGAUAGUGUUGGUCAUUUGUAAGGCACCCUCACAUAUAAGGUCCUCAUGGGCAUGUAACUCAUUACAUCUUCACUUGAAUAAACUCUAGGGGAGGGCACUAGAGCUCUUGGACCUGUUUACAACCCCCAAGUCGCUAAUGUGGAGUCUGAGGAGUUACGCAUGACCCGGCCUCGACUUUGGAGUUUGGGAGAGGGUUUCGAGGAGUCACGCACCACUCGGGGCGACCGUCUAGCUCCAACGAGGCAACUGGACCUCUUCAAGAAACAUUGUUUUGUCAUUCUUGUCGAGUGUACGGUGAGUCGGUGACCUACACUAUAAGCUAUCGUACAUGGCAUCGUUAACACUAAAUUGCUUACCAACACACUAUUUAGGAUAUCCUCUAGUUUUAGUAAGAUGUCAACCUCACUAGCUUUGUUAGUUGUGACAAGUGAUUAACAUAUAGUGUGGUUGGAAGUAUUUUUGUAUUUAGGAAUAAUAAAUGGCUGAAAAUAGAAGUGCUUAUAGAAGUUGUUGGAAGGAAUUCUCUAUAAGGAAAAUGGACCGUGGUUCAUAGGUUUAUCGAUAGUAACACUCCCAAAUGUAAUGGUACAUAAAAACGACAUAAAGAUAUAUAUGCAAGCGAAAUAUUACAUACACAUGACAGAAAACUUCAUAUUCAAUUUGAUGGUAUUAUAUGAGUAGUACAUUCGUGAAAUCUUUAAACCAAAAUCUAUCAUGGAUCUAUGGCUAAUACUCCAAUCAGAUACUGAAAUUCAUCAUGCAUCUCCAAGUAUUAAGUAAUAAAAUAGAACAUUGCUUUGAGUAAGAUGACAUACAACCGAUAAUGUUCCCCUAUGCCUUGGGUUCAUCACGGAAUCAAACAAUUUUACUGUAUUGUUAUCCUUAGUGGCAAUAACACAAUGCAAGCCUUUUUCCUUGUACUGUCACCAAGGUACCUUGCUUGCAAGAUUAAACAACUAGUGCAUACCACUUCCUCUAAUGAUCACUCAUCCAAACUAGCUAGUGAAUCGACAGAUAAUCGGAGAGCAUAUGUGUCUACAAAUCAAACACAAGCAUCACAUAUAAUAUGAUCAUAAAGUAACAAUUCAACAAAUUAGCGUAAUCAUCACACAAAAUACAUAAGAGGGAUCACAAUCAUGUUAGGCAGCUCAUGUGUUCGUUGUAUUGAAGAGCAAUGGAGAUUCUACGACAUGGCUACUACUUCGAACCCAUAGUCAAGUGGGUGGACUACUCAUACAUUAUCAUGGAGCGGCGAGGGUCGAUGUUGAUAAAUAUGCGAUGAAUUAUAGCUCUGGCAGAGUACCAGAACAUGGAUGUAGAUGAGGCCGCCUUAGAACGCGAAGAGAGAAUGACGGUAAUUGCAGGAUAAAUACUCAAUGAGUUUUGGGGAUACAUAUAAGCCAUGGGCGUUGGUGAGGACUGAGGAGGCAGGGGAGGUUGAAUGAGCCCAGACGCCCUAGGCCAUCCUGCCUAUCCCUAUGGCUCCGAGUCUCUUCUGGUCCAAAAACCUCUCUUGCAUUUUUAUUUUAUUGUUCCCAUGACAUAAAAUAUCUCUUUCUUGAAACCAAAAUCACGGGAAAAGGGGAAUUGGCAUUGACCAUUUUAUUAAUAUGUUACUCCAAAUAAAUCAUAAAACAUGCUAGUUCAUUGAUAUUAAAGCAUGAAAGCUUCAAAAAUUAUGGACAUGUUUAGGACGUAUCAGUUAUUCGACGUACAUACAUUCAGAAUUGUCCUUCAUGCGGGGACUUUCAAGGGAUAUAUUCACUGGAUAGUUUCCUCUGCGGCUUUGGCCGAGUUGGCAGCAUGACUCUGCCAUUGCAUCGCCAAGUCGAACAUAUGCCUUUCCCACUUGAUGGCCCAUCAAAGCGGCACAUGAACAUAGAUUAUGCCAUAAGGCCUCUGACAUCUUCAGCAUGGCAUGGACAUAGUUGGUGAUGGCCAUAAAUUGUUCCAACUAAGGUCUUCUAAGAAAGGGCGUUAUAGGCCAUCAAGAAGUUAAACACCUCAAAACGUAAGAGCACAUGAGGAUGANNNNNNNNNNNNNNNNNNNNNNNNNNNNNNNNNNNNNNNNNNNNNNNNNNNNNNNNNNNNNNNNNNNNNNNNNNNNNNNNNNNNNNNNNNNNNNNNNNNNNNNNNNNNNNNNNNNNNNNNNNNNNNNNNNNNNNNNNNNNNNNNNNNNNNNNNNNNNNNNNNNNNNNNNNNNNNNNNNNNNNNNNNNNNNNNNNNNNNNNNNNNNNNNNNNNNNNNNNNNNNNNNNNNNNNNNNNNNNNNNNNNNNNNNNNNNNNNNNNNNNNNNNNNNNNNNNAAGCAGAGAGUAUUGUCAAGAGUUUGUAGUUACCAAACAAGUCGCCAGCAUUAAAGCUGAUGGGGAUGUUUGACCAUUAAAGUCGGGAUGGCUCCGCCUUGGCGAUCAGAACCACCAUCGUGGAUGCCUUCAUGACCCUCCUAGACACAUAGCAUGCUAAUCUGCCCCGCAUCUGUACCACGAAGUGGGAGUAUGGUGUGGGGAUUGCAUGCUCUUCAACUUUCACUUGUUGUUUCUCCAUCUCGAUCAAGCGUAGAGGACACGACAUUCAGCCCGCCUGUAGAAUCUGGUGUCAUGGAGUUCACACCAAUUCCUACAACUUUGCUGAUCCUUAGGUAUCUAGCUUGAGCGGACCAUUGUCGAUCGAGAGGAGAACUAUCCUAUGACUGUUGUCCUCGUUGCGGCACGGGUUGGCGUAGAUGCCAGCGUCGACAAUGACAUAAUCGAUAGAGUUGUGGUGUCAAUUAUGAAGUCACUAGUGAAGGUAUCGCUCCAUAUCCAAUUUGGUAGCACGAGGACCCCCACAGUUGGCAUCUGUUUUCGACAGUGAUUUGUGAUGUACCUAACAUCAAUAGGGUGAAUGUACAUAGACUUAUAUGAUAUUGUGAUGUCACCUCUGAAGGAAAUAUGCCCUAGAGGCAAUAAUAAAGUUAUUAUUUAUUUCCUCAUAUCAUGAUAAAUGUUUAUUAUUCAUGCUAGAAUUGUAUUAACCGGAAACAUGAUACAUGUGUGAAUACAUAGACAAACUUAAUGUCACUAGUAUGCCUCUACUUGACUAGCUCAUUAAUCAAAGAUGGUUAUGUUUCCUAACCAUAGACAUGUGUUGUCAUUUGAUUAGAGAGAUCACAUCAUUAGUAGAAUGAUGUGAUUGACUUGACCCAUUCCGUUAGCCUAGCACUUGAUCGUUUAAUAUGUUGCUAUUGCUUUCUUCAUGACUUAUACAAAGUUCCUACAACUAUGAGAUUAUGCAACUCCCGUUUACCGGAGGAACACUUUGUGUGCUAUCAAACGUCACAACGUAACUGGGUGAUUAUAACGGAGCUCUACAGGUGUCUCCAAAGAUGAUGUUGAGUUGGCGUAUUUCGAGAUUAGGUUUUGUCGCUCCGAUUGUCGGAGAGGUAUCUCUGGGCCCUCUCGGUAAUGCACAUCACUAUAAGCCUUGCAAGCAAUGUGGCCAAUGAGUUGGUUACGGAAUGAUGCAUUACGUAACGAGUAAAGAGACUUGCCGGUAACGAGAUUGAACUAGGUAUUGGAUACCGACGAUCGAAUCUCGGGCAAAUAACAUACCGAUUACAAAGGAAACAACGUAUGUUGUUAUGCGGUUUGACCGAUAAAGAUCUUCGUAGAAUAUGUAGGAGCCAAUAUGAGCAUCCAGGUUCCGCUAUUGGUUAUUGACCGGAAACAGUUCUAGGUCAUGUCUACAUAGUUCUCGAACCCGUAGGGUCCGCACGCUUAAAGUUACGAUGACAGUUUCAUUAUGCGUUUGUAUGUUUUGAUGUACCGAAGGUUGUUCGGAGUCCCGGAUGUGAUCACGGACAUGACGAGGAGUCUCGAAAUGGUCGAGACAUAAAGAUUGAUAUAUUGGAAGCCUAUAUUUGGAUAUCAGAAUUGUUCCGGGAGAAAUCAGGAUUUUUCCGGAGUACCGGGGGGUUACCGGAACCCCCCCCCCCCCCGGGGGGGGGGGGGUUAAUGGGCCUACAUUGGGCCCUAAGGGAGAAGAGGAGGGCCGGCCAGGGCAGGCCGCGCGCCCCCUCCCCCUCUAGUCCGAAUAGGACAAGGAAGGGGGGGCGGCGCCCCCCUUUCCUCUUUCCCCUUCCCCCUUUCCUUCUCCUACAAGGCAAGAGGGGGGAGUCCUACUCCCGGUGGGAGUAGGACUCCUCCAGGCGCACCCCUAGGGGCCGGCCGCACCUCCCCCUCCCUCCUUUAUAUACGGGGGCAGGGGGCACCCCAUAACACACAAGUUGAUCUUCGUGAUCGUUCCUUAGCCGUGUGCGGUGCCCCCCUCCACCAUAUUCCACCUCGGUCGUAUCGUUGCGGUGCUUAGGCGAAGCCCUGCGUCGGUAGAACAUCAUCAUCGUCACCACGCCGUCGUGCUGAUGGAACUCAUCCCCGACACCCUGCUGGAUCGGAGUCCGGGGAUCGUCAUCGAGCUGAACGUGUGCUGACCUCGGAGGCGCCGUACGUUCGGUGCUUGGAUUUGUCGGAUCGUGAAGACGUACGACUACAUCAACCGCGUUGUCAUAACGCUUCCGCUUUCGGUCUACGAGGGUACGUGGACACACUCUCCCCUCUCGUUGCUAUGCAUCACCAUGAUCUUGCGUGUGCGUAGGAUUUUUUUUGAAAUUACUACGUUCCCCAACAACCUCAGGUUAUCAGUGGACAGGGGGCACAAGUUUUAUCCGGGUUCGGUCGUUGUGUGGUGAGUUAUAACCUUACUCCUACUUAUAUGAGAUUGUAUCAUCAACAAGUUACAAUGGGUGUACUAUGGCGUAUCCGGUGAGUUGGAGGUCAACUCACCUAAGAUGGAGGUGGAUGAUCUCGACAUAAUGCAUAUAUUGGAUCUACUAAUGUGCUAAACUACACUUCUAGGGUUUCUAGAGCGAUUGAAGGUCCCCUUCUUGUCGCGAGGAAAGCCCUUAUAUAGGGGUCUGGUCGGUGGCCCUUGUCUUUCUUCUUGAUCUUCUUGUCUCACAAGCCCUCAAUUCCUCCAUUUUUGGUAGUCACACGGUUUCUUCUUAAGGAAACCAUGGUUGGCACGUAUAAGGGAUCUAGCUCCCUUCAUGCCCCACAUACAUGGGAAAAUAUGGACAAAAUAGUAGCAUGUGUGGCACGGAAAUACAGUGAAACCACUUUCCCAUACACUUACUUUAUCCGCAUUUCCAAACGUGCAAAGAAAAACUUAAAAAAAUGUCACCUAUCCCACACCCCCUCUACUCGACCUCACCGGUCAUUUCAACUGCCUCUCAAGGAAGUGUCAAUGUCACAGCUGCAGCUCACAUUAGUGAAGACGCAGUGGACCAAGUAAAGGAGAUGAACCCCCAGGUGUAUUUGGCAUGGGACAAGUGCAUAUUUCGUUGGAAUCCUCUGUGGCCCAUGAAUGGGGUGUAUGAGUGGACGUGGAUGUUCUAAUCCCGAGCUCACAUGAGCUUGGAUGAACAGUAAAAAACUAAUAUUUUUGUGUGCCAAAUAUUGACUAAUGUUUUGAUUGCUUGCAAAGUUUCAUCACCGGAUAAUAUUUGUGGGAAACAUGGUAAAAAAACAAAAUCGAUGCUCUAAAAUGCUUUUGAAAAACGUGGCAAAAAUACAACAUCGAAAUGGCUGGCCGUCUAGGAGCCACAAGCCGCUGCCUCCUCCUCCUCCAAACAAAAGCUAGGAUUCCCGCCUCUCGCCAGCGCCGCCACAGGUCCGCCUCGUCUUCGAUGGCCCUAGGGCCAUGAGGGCGUGGUGGAUCCUGGCAAGGGCCGGUGGGAGGGCUUCGAUUUUUAUCGUUCAUUUCUGUUUUGUUAGGGUUUGUGUCCUGCUCAGUAAAGACGAGACGGCGGAGGCUCCCUAAAAAUGGAAUAAAGGUCUCCCACCUAGCCCCCGUUUCGGCAGUGUGAAGGUGUGUCUCUGGUGGAUCUAUCUUUGGUGGAUUUGCUCGGAUCUCGUCAUUGUUCGUCUAUGUUUGUGUGUCUUUGGAUUGGAUCCUUUCGAUCUAUGUUAUUCUUCAUCAACGGCGGUUGCUGUUCUGAUGCGUUUGUCCUAUGGGGCCUUAGCACGAUGACUUCCCGACUGUCUACUACAACAAGUUGUGCCCGACUCUGAUGAUGGAGGGGCGAUGACGGCGGUGCGUCUUCGGCUCGCUUUAGUCCUUGUAGUCGUCGCUAGGUGGUCUAUAAAUCUGGAUGUAAUUUUUAUUAUUUCUAGUGUUCGUUAUAUUAUCAUGGUUGAAGAAAAAUAGAUUAGAAAGUUUUCUCGCAAAAAGAAAAAAGAAAUUGCUGGCCGUCCAAGCUGGAGGUCUCAACAUCACGGAGUGUGUCGCUAGGUAGAGGAAGGGGGGAGAAGCAGGUGUUCAUAGACCAAAAACAGUAACAUAGGCUAAGAUACUUGCGAUGUAAACACUCUUUACAAAAGGAAUAUUGAUUUAAAUGCUCUUACAUUUCUUUACAGAAGGAAUAUUGAUCUAAAUGCUCUUAUAUUUCUUUACAUAUGGAUUACUUAUAUACAUGGAUUGCAUCAUUGGUGAUUACACCACUGAAAGAGUCGUGGAAUCACAAAAGCAGGUGUCAACUCAUGAACAACCUCGUCUGAAAGAACCAAUGUAGUUGGCCCACCCAUUUUUUAUACUCCUCAACAGCCAAACUGCUGGAUUGAACACACCAAAUUGGGCCGAAAAGAUAUUCAGAGGCACAUCUGGAGAAUCGGAAAGAUAAUCAAAAGGAACAAAUGUAAGCAUAGCACACACACAAUCAAUUCAUGUUACGAUAAUAUAGGUGUCAAGUGAAGUGCAUGACGAUCCUUCCAAAGCAUACAACCAGAUAGGACGCACAGCGUGUAUUUACAGAAAGCUCAGUAUGAGCCAUGAGUUGAGAUUAUUUUCUACAUGAAGCUUCAGUUUUAGCAACCACGUACUACGACGGUUGAUCCUGCAACUUAUGUCGCAAUCUCCGGCUCGCAUAUUACUUUAAGUUAAUAACAUAUAUAUACAACACACAGGAUUUUCAAAUCAAACCAAGGGGCGAGCAGG